CCUACGGGAGGCUGCAGUGGGGAAUAUUGGACAAUGGGCGAAAGCCUGAUCCAGCCAUGCCGCGUGUGUGAAGAAGGCCUUCGGGUUGUAAAGCACUUUCAGUGGGGAAGAAAGCCUUGGGGCUAAUACCCUCGAGGAAGGACAUCACCCACAGAAGAAGCACCGGCUAACUCCGUGCCAGCAGCCGCGGUAAUACGGAGGGUGCGAGCGUUAAUCGGAAUUACUGGGCGUAAAGCGCGCGUAGGCGGUCUGAUAAGCCGGUUGUGAAAGCCACGGGCUCAACCUGGGAACGGCAUCCGGAACUGUCAGGCUAGAGUGCAGGAGAGGAAGGUAGAAGUCCCGGUGUAGCGGUGAAAUGCGUAGAGAUCGGGAGGAAUACCAGUGGCGAAGGCGGCCUUCUGGACUGACACUGACGCUGAGGUGCGAAAGCGUGGGUAGCAAACAGGAUUAGAUACCCUGGUAGGC
This 465-nucleotide ribosomal RNA is filed under the name Vreelandella stevensii. Its description in RNAcentral is "partial 16S ribosomal RNA". It matches the Rfam family "Bacterial small subunit ribosomal RNA", at positions 338 to 795 of the family's 1533-position model. The record is from RNAcentral. Lineage: Bacteria; Pseudomonadati; Pseudomonadota; Gammaproteobacteria; Oceanospirillales; Halomonadaceae.